RNAcentral lists this transfer RNA (68 nucleotides) under Nymphon gracile. Its description in RNAcentral is "tRNA-Val". Lineage: Eukaryota; Metazoa; Arthropoda; Pycnogonida; Pantopoda; Nymphonidae. The record is from RNAcentral.
UAGAAACACCUUUAAAAGGAUAAAUUUCUUACAAAAAUUUAUUUCUGAACUUAUAUCAGAGUUUCUAA